RNAcentral lists this ribosomal RNA (349 nucleotides) under uncultured bacterium. RNAcentral's name for it is "bacterial SSU rRNA". It matches the Rfam family "Bacterial small subunit ribosomal RNA", at positions 8 to 350 of the family's 1533-position model. The record is from RNAcentral.
AGAGUUUGAUCCUGGCUCAGGAUGAACGCUAGCUACAGGCUUAACACAUGCAAGUCGAGGGGCAGCAUGGUCUUAGCUUGCUAAGACCGAUGGCGACCGGCGCACGGGUGAGUAACGCGUAUCCAACCUGCCUUACACUCUUGGACAGCCUUCUGAAAGGGAGAUUAAUACAAGAUGUUAUCAUGAGUAAGCAUUUUCACAUGAUUAAAGGUUUACCGGUGUAAGAUGGGGAUGCGUUCAUUAGAUAGUAGGCGGGGUAACGGCCACCUAGUCUUCGAUGGAUAGGGGUUCUGAGAGGAAGGUCCCCANAUUGGAACUGAGACACGGUCCAAACGUCCUAGGGGAGGCA